RNA transcript from Nicotiana attenuata, 2916 nucleotides. It is a transcript of the gene named FHA domain-containing protein PS1-like, with no coding region annotated. NCBI's taxonomy places the organism in Eukaryota, Viridiplantae, Streptophyta, Magnoliopsida, Solanales, Solanaceae. The record is from RefSeq and is a predicted model, not a curated record. The transcript has 7 exons.
UCACAUUUUCAAGAUUUUAUUCAAAAACACCCGUCUCCCCUCUCUCUUCCAUUGGGACAAAUUCUCUGUGUUUCUCUUUCAUGGCGGAGAAUCAAGAAUCUUUGGGAAAACCCAAUUUACAGACUGAAUUAGAGAAGAAGAUUCCAGUGUUUACAGUGCUAAAGAAUGGAGCCAUCCUCAAGAACAUCUUUCUUCUUGAUUAUCCCCCACCUAUAACCACAGCUUCUGCUGAAGAAACGAAACCAGAUUUUGAAGAGAUUUUGUCGGUGGUUGGACGACAUCCAGAUUGUAACAUAGUCUUGGAACACCCAAGCAUCAGCAGAUUCCACCUCCGCAUUCACUCGAAUCCCUCUACUCACUCCCUCUCUGUUAUUGAUCUGUCUUCUGUCCACGGGACAUGGAUUUCUGGCAACAAGAUUGAACCAGGGGUUCGAGUAGAUUUGAAAGAGGGCGAUAAGAUGCAGCUUGGAGGUUCAAGCAGGGAGUACAGGCUUCAUUGGAUUCCAAUCAGCCGUGCAUAUGAUUUGGGGAAUCCAUUUGUAGCUCCAUUAAGUGAAGCAGAAUCAGUGAAAGAAGCAGAGGAGAAAAAACAUCAGGAUGAGAGUGGCUUUGCCCUUCAGAAUGAGGAUGAUGAUUCAGCGCAGGUUCAAGAUUCAGCAUUUUCUGAUAUGAGUUUGUUGCCAUAUGGAAAAAGCUUGACUCCAUCAGCUCCUCCAAUGCCUGAAUAUUUGGAGUCUUCAUUUCCUGUUGGCGACGAGGCAGUAAAUGUAAAUCCACCUGAGAAAAUACAUGGAGAGAGUGAAAUCAGUUUGAUACAGCCUGCUUAUGAACCUGACAAAGAAAACAGCACUCCACGAGCGCUUCUUGUCUCAGGAGGGUCCCAAACAGAAAAUGCAGAUAGUACUCCAGUAAGAUCUCAGCAAAGAUGUUUGAGCAUUUGGUCUAGAAGAGGAAAAUGUUCCAGUGUUCAGAUUCAAACAGGUAGAGAUAGAGCAAUUAUUGAAAAAGUUGACAUUGAUAAUGAAGUUAACUCACUUAAUCGUGAGAAGGUUGGAAUGGGAUCAGUUUCGAAUGAUCCUUUUUCUAGUGCAAACAAGGAUGAAGAAGAUGCAUUCACUCCAGACAAAGAGAACCAUACUCCUAGUUCUCUCUUCCUUGGGUCCGAGGUGAAUGAACAAGCUACUAAACCUGUCCUUUCUUGUUGUACGGAUGAGAAUGCUGAAGAGAAUUUUCAUCUGGACAGAGUGGAUCUUACCCCAAACGCUCAUUUGCUGCAACCUAUGAAGAAGAUGAGCAGUUUGGAACAAAAUAAGCAUCGAAAACCUUUUAGAUCCUCCCAUAUGAAAGAGAUUUUUGAUCCCACACUCCAUGAAGCUGAAGGUCUUAAAUACCACAAGAAAGAGAAUAUCGGAUCAUCUACAGUGCUCUCAAAUAUGAGUAACAAUAGUGAAGAAAUUUUCACUCCAGACAAAGAGAAUAUGACACCCAAUAGUUGUUCAAUGAGAUCGAAAAGGAAAGGGAAAAUGGUGGAGGUUAAGCAUCUAAAACCAUUUGAGAAAGAAAACUUGACUGGCAAAGUACUUGAAGAGCAGAAAUCAGCAAGUGUUGCUUCCAGAAAUGUGGAUAGAUCGGAGGUAAAUAUACUGAAGAACAGAACAGAUAGAGUGCCAUUUCAAUCUCUGCUUGUGAACUCCCCCAGCAACACCAAUUCAGAAUCUCCAGAACGGCAAGUCAAGCUGAAUGCUAAUCCAAUCAAGUGUCAACAAAUUAUGGAAGCAGGCCCCUUUUCUGAUAACAAUGCCAGGGAAGAGAAAAGAAGGUGGACCAUGGUAGUGGACACCGUUUCUUUGUUAAACAAAGAGUCAAGAAAAGCUUUGCAGCUUUUGCAAGGUCUCAAGGGGACUUACCUGAUAAUCCCCAGAAUUGUCUUAAGGGAACUGGAUUGCAUGAAGAGGCGUGCUGGCUUUUUUAGGAGAGCAACAGAAGUCUCUGCAGCACUAGAAUGGAUAGAAGACUGCAAGGUAAAUGCAAAAUCAUGGGUUCAUGUGCAGAGUUGUGUGGAGGAAGCAAGGCCAAUGGCACCGACUCCUCCUGCUACUGCACCACCGUCUUUGUUCAGUAAGGAGAAUGGCAUCUUUCCAGUCGGUUCAGUUCUAUCCUCUCCACAUUGUGGUCUAGCGGAAAUUAUUUCACCCACAGCAGAAGAUCAUAUCCUUGAAUGUGCCCUCCUAUUCAAACGAACUAGCAGAGAUGGACAACUAGUUCUCCUUAGCAAUGAUCUUACCAUGAAGAUCAAGGCCAUGGCAGAAGGUUUAAACUGUGAGACAGCAGAAGAUUUCCGAGAGAGUCUGGUGAAUCCAUUCUCAGAGAGAUUUCUUUGGAAAGACAGCUCUCCCAGGGGAAGCACUUGGUCAUGUGUGGAUGACUUUGUUCUUGGGGAGCCAUAUUAUCCUGGACCUCUAAAGAAGUCAUCAAAGUCAGGACAAGCAGCAAAAGGCUUGAAGCUGAUAUUGCUUCAUAAUUCUCAUUAUAGGCAAAUCUGUUCAGGCAGCGGCAGUUAGCUGAGUAGAGUAGUCCCCGUAACCAAUAGAAGCUGAACCACUUAGCCUAGCCAGUGCGCGUCCGUCCCCCCUUCUUAUUAAAGAUGUUGAAGAUGAAUUUCAGAUCUUCUGGCUGCAUCUAAACCUGUAAAUGGCCAUUGUUUCAAUCUCUUGGAACUUCUGUUUGUCAAUGCACUGAAAUUGAUUCUAGAUGAGUCAGAGACUUUCUUCAUGAAAUCAGGGGACUGCUCAACACUUUGGUAUAUGGUUGUUAUCAUCUGAUUUGCUCGGCAUCUACCCUGAUACUCUUGCGUAAGUAAUUAAGGAGCAGUUUGUUAAUGAAAUUUGUUUAUAUCGCAAAGCAGAUUAAUAGAUA